AACAUGGUUGCAACGGGUAACGGGGAAUCAGGGUUCGAUUCCGGAGAGGGAGCCUGAGAAACGGCUACCACAUCUAAGGAAGGCAGCAGGCGCGUAAAUUACCCACUCCCGGCACGGGGAGGUAGUGACGAAAAAUAACAAUAUAGAACUAGUUAACUAUGUUCUGUAAUUGGAAUGAAUCAAGUUUAAAUCCUUUAAUGAGGAUCAAGUGGAGGGCAAGUCUGGUGCCAGCAGCCGCGGUAAUUCCAGCUCCACUAGCGUAUGUUAAAAUUGUUGCGGUUAAAACGUUCGAAGUUGAUUAUUGUCCAGUGCGGGUGUGACAUCAUCAAGAAAUGAUUGUCAUCACUUUCCGGUUACUUGGACUAUUUGACUGAACACUAAAUGAAUAGCAUUGAUGUCUUUCACUAGACUAGAUGUCUAUUUAGUUCGGCUUACUUUUACCUUGAACAAAUUAAAGUGCUCAAAGCAGGCUUCAUAUGCUUGAAUAGUUUUGCAUGGAAUAAUGGAAAAAGACCUCGGUCUUUUGUUGCGCGGGUUCGCUCGCGUAAUGAUUUUCUAUUGGUUUGAUACAGAUCAAGAGGUAAUGAUUAAUAGAAGCAGUUGGGGGCAUUAGUAUUACGGCGCGAGAGGUGAAAUUCUUAGACCGUCGUAAGACUAACUAAAGCGAAAGCAUUUGCCAAGGAUGUUUUCAUUAAUCAAGAACGAAAGUUAGAGGAUCGAAGGCGAUCAGAUACCGCCCUAGUUCUAACUGUAAACGAUGACAGCUAGCGAUUGGGUGUCACUACAUAAUGGUGCACUCAGUAGCUUUCCGGGAAACUAAAGCUAGUUUCCGGGGGAAGUAUGGUUGCAAAGUUGAAACUUAAAGGAAUUGACGGAAGAUUACCUCCAGGAAUGGAAUUUGCGGCUUAAUUUGACCCAACACGGGAAAACUUACCAGGUCCGAACUCAAGUGGGUAUGACAAUUUGAUAGCGUUUUCACGAAUUUGAGGGUAGUGGUGCAUGGCCGUUCUUAGUUCGUGGAUUGAUUUGUCUGGUUAAUUCCGAUAACGAACGAGACUCAAUUAUUUAACUAGAUACCUAUCAGCCGUUGAGAUGCUGAAGUCAUAUGAUGUGGUGUGUCGCAAGGCAUUCCAUGACAUUUGAUCGAGUCUCACCUGAUAGUUUGGCUUUCGAUUUCGGUCGAUAAGCUUUAUCUGCUUAAAUAGACAAAUUGCUUUCAGCAAUAUGAAAUUGAGCAAUAACAGGUCCGUGAUGCCCUUAGAUGUUCUGGGCGGCACGCGAGUUACAAUGAAGCUGACAACGUGUUACCUUAUCCGAGAGGAUUGGGAAAUCACUUAGCCAGCUUCCUAGUUGGGAUUGUGGACUGAAAAAGUUCACAUGAACCAGGAACUCCUAGUAAGUGUGAGUCACUAGCUUGCAUUGAUUACGACCCUGAUCUUUGUACACACCGCCCGUCGCUAUUACCGACGAAUUAUUUAGUGAGAUCUCUGGAGGUAGACAUUGCGAUGCUUCGGUAUUGCGAUUG
This 1525-nucleotide ribosomal RNA is filed under the name metagenome. Its description in RNAcentral is "SSU rRNA". It matches the Rfam family "Eukaryotic small subunit ribosomal RNA", at positions 343 to 1744 of the family's 1831-position model. The record is from RNAcentral.